RNAcentral lists this ribosomal RNA (440 nucleotides) under uncultured bacterium. Its description in RNAcentral is "partial 16S ribosomal RNA". It matches the Rfam family "Bacterial small subunit ribosomal RNA", at positions 338 to 795 of the family's 1533-position model. The record is from RNAcentral.
CCUACGGGUGGCUGCAGUGGGGGAUAUUGCACAAUGGGGGAAACCCUGAUGCAGCGACGCCGCGUGGGUGAAGAAGCGCCUCGGCGCGUAAAGCCCUGUCAGCAGGGAAGAAAAUGACGGUACCUGAAGAAGAAGCCCCGGCUAACUACGUGCCAGCAGCCGCUGUAAUACGUAGGGGGCAAGCGUUAUCCGGAUUUACUGGGUGUAAAGGGGGCGCAGACGGUGAUGCAGGCCAGGAGGGAAAGCCCGGGGCCCAACCCCGGGACUGCUCUUGGAACUGCGUGGCUAGAGUGCAGGAGGGGCAGGCGGAAUGCCUGGUGUAGCGGUGAAAUGCGUAGAUAUCAGGAGGAACACCGGUGGCGAAGGCGGCCUGCUGGACUGCAACUGACGUUGAGGCCCGAAAGCGUGGGGAGCAAACAGGAUUAGAUACCCUAGUAGUC